AGUUACCCCAUGCAUCCAGCAGAGGCCACAGUAUUGUGUUUUGCUGUUGGCAAGAAAGUUAAAACGUUUUCUUUGGUGAAUAAAAAUGACACAGUCUAAAAUGUAGAGUACUUUGAGUUCUACAGUUGUACAGGUUUCAGAUCAUCAGUUCUAUAAUUCUAGAGAACCAAAAACAAUUCCAGCUAACCACUGUUGUAAGAUUUACGAUUUCUUUAAGGCUUAGCCCCCAGUUGGAUAAGGACCUCAACCAGAAGCAGAUAUUUUGAACUGAAGAGAUGAUCCCUAGAAUGUUUAAAUAAAAUAAUCAUGUUUAAAGAAAAUGUAAACAUGAUUUGUAGGAAGGUGUAUUUUGUCUACUGUGUUGUUGAACAAGGACUUGACCGUAUGUGGGACACGUGUGUGAGUGUCUGU
Cynoglossus semilaevis (tongue sole) is the source of this 411-nucleotide long non-coding RNA. RefSeq lists it as uncharacterized. NCBI's taxonomy places the organism in Eukaryota, Metazoa, Chordata, Actinopteri, Pleuronectiformes, Cynoglossidae. The transcript has 2 exons. The record is from RefSeq and is a predicted model, not a curated record.